Molecule: ribosomal RNA, 253 nt
Filed under: uncultured bacterium
Lineage: Bacteria
Description: partial 16S ribosomal RNA
Rfam family: Bacterial small subunit ribosomal RNA
Source: RNAcentral
UACGAAGGGGGCUAGCGUUGUUCGGAAUCACUGGGCGUAAAGCGCGCGUAGGCGGGCUGGUCAGCCAGGGGUGAAAGCCCGGAGCUCAACUCCGGAAUUGCCUUUGGAACUUCCAGCCUAGAAUCUCGGAGGGGAUGGCGGAAGUCCUAAUGUAGAGGUGAAAUUCGUAGAUAUUAGGAGGAACACCGGUGGCGAAGGCGGCCAUCUGGACGAGAAUUGACGCUGAGGUGCGAAAGCGUGGGGAUCAAACAGG